This 348-nucleotide ribosomal RNA is filed under the name Salinamexus koreanus. RNAcentral's name for it is "partial 12S ribosomal RNA". Lineage: Eukaryota; Metazoa; Arthropoda; Insecta; Coleoptera; Staphylinidae. The record is from RNAcentral.
UAAAAUGUAAAAUUAUAAAAUUGAAUUAUUAAUAGAUAUAGGCUUAAAAGUUAAAAAAUUUGGCGGUAUUUUAGUCUUUUCAGAGGAACCUGUCCUAUAAUUGAUAUUCCACGAUUAGAAUUACUUAUUUUAUUAAUUUGUAUAUCGUCGUAGUUGAAUAUUUUAAAAGAAGUUAAAUAUUCAUAAUUUUUAAUUAAAAAACAAAUCAGAUCAAGGUGCAGUUUAUAAAUAAGAAGAGAUGGGUUACAAUAAAAAUAUUUUUGGAUUUUAAGUUUAAAAUUUAAUUGAAAAAGGAUUUGAAAGUAAUUUAGUUUAUAUAAAUUAAAUGAUUUUAGCUCUAGAAUAUGC